UCACUCAUUUAUCAGCAAUCA
RNAcentral lists this non-coding RNA (21 nucleotides) under Caenorhabditis elegans. The record is from RNAcentral. Lineage: Eukaryota; Metazoa; Nematoda; Chromadorea; Rhabditida; Rhabditidae.